Molecule: ribosomal RNA, 430 nt
Filed under: uncultured bacterium
Lineage: Bacteria
Description: partial 16S ribosomal RNA
Rfam family: Bacterial small subunit ribosomal RNA
Source: RNAcentral
AACGAACGCUGGCGGCAGGCUUAACACAUGCAAGUCGAGCGCCCCGCAAGGGGAGCGGCAGACGGGUGAGUAACGCGUGGGAACGUACCUUUUGGUUCGGAACAACUCCGGGAAACUGGAGCUAAUACCGGAUAAGCCCUAACGGGGAAAGAUUUAUCGCCGAAAGAUCGGCCCGCGUCUGAUUAGCUAGUUGGUGAGGUAACGGCUCACCAAGGCGACGAUCAGUAGCUGGUCUGAGAGGAUGAUCAGCCACACUGGGACUGAGACACGGCCCAGACUCCUACGGGAGGCAGCAGUGGGGAAUAGUGGACAAUGGGCGCAAGCCUGAUCCAGCCAUGCCGCGUGAGUGAUGAAGGCCUUAGGGUUGUAAAGCUCUUUUGUCCGGGAAGAUAAUGACUGUACCGGAAGAAGAAGCCCCGGCUAACUUCGU